CUGUGACUUGCUCGGAGUUGCUGUGCUUCAUGCAUCCAUGUAGUCCUCUAUGAGAGUAUCCCUCCGGUCCAAAUAGUCAUGUCCAUGAUUUUGAGUUGCUGUGCAGCUGUGCUUCAGACAUCCAUGCAGUCCCCUAAGGGAUCGCCAUCCAGGUCCAUUUUUCGUCAAAUUGUUGCGCCCAUGCUUCGAGUGUGUGUGCAUCAGGC
Molecule: long non-coding RNA, 206 nt
Organism: Ornithodoros turicata
Lineage: Eukaryota; Metazoa; Arthropoda; Arachnida; Ixodida; Argasidae
Exons: 3
Source: RefSeq, a predicted model, not a curated record